UACGGAGGAUCCGAGCGUUAUCCGGAUUUAUUGGGUUUAAAGGGUGCGCAGGCGGGAGAUUAAGUCGGCGGUGAAAUUUUGCAGCUCAACUGUAAAAGUGCCUUCGAAACUGGUUUCCUCGAGUGUAGAUGAAGUAGGCGGAAUUUGUGGUGUAGCGGUGAAAUGCAUAGAUAUCACGAGGAACUCCGAUUGCGCAGGCAGCUUACUAAACUACUACUGACGCUCAGGCACGAAGGCGUGGGGAUCAAACAGGAUUAGAUACCCCGGUAGUU
Molecule: ribosomal RNA, 272 nt
Filed under: uncultured prokaryote
Description: partial 16S ribosomal RNA
Rfam family: Bacterial small subunit ribosomal RNA
Source: RNAcentral